RNAcentral lists this ribosomal RNA (230 nucleotides) under uncultured bacterium. Its description in RNAcentral is "partial 16S ribosomal RNA". It matches the Rfam family "Bacterial small subunit ribosomal RNA", at positions 57 to 305 of the family's 1533-position model. The record is from RNAcentral.
GCAAGUCGAACGCUGACGCAUUCUUCGGCAUGUGGCAGAGUGGCGAACGGGUGAGGAACACGUAAGACUCUGCCCCUCGGUCGGGGACCACUCUUGGAAACGAGAGCUAAUACCCGAUACGCUGUGGAGUGAAAGAAUUUCGCCGAGGGAUGAUCUUGCGUCUGAUUAGCUAGUUGGUGUGGUAAUGGCAUACCAAGGCGACGAUCAGUAGCUGGUCUGAGAGGAUGGAC